GCAAACUUGGUCAUUUAGAGGAAGUAAAAGUCGUAACAAGGUUUCCGUAGGUGAACCUGCGGAAGGAUCAUUACCGAGUUAGGGUGUCUGUUCGCAGCGCCCGACCUCCCAACCCUUUGUCUAUGAUACCUAAACAGUUGCUUCGGCGUGCCGAGGGGUCGUACCCUCGCCGGGCCUCACGGCCGGGAGCGCGCACGUCGACGGCCUUUAUCUAACACUUGAACCCAAAACCUGUCGUCUGAAAACUUGUGAUUAACCAAUAAUCAAAAACAAAACUUUCAACAACGGAUCUCUUGGUUCUGGCAUCGAUGAAGAACGCAGC
Molecule: unclassified non-coding RNA, 322 nt
Filed under: uncultured fungus
Lineage: Eukaryota; Fungi
Description: partial contains small subunit ribosomal RNA, internal transcribed spacer 1, and 5.8S ribosomal RNA
Rfam family: Eukaryotic small subunit ribosomal RNA (bases 1-73)
Source: RNAcentral